Molecule: ribosomal RNA, 253 nt
Filed under: uncultured bacterium
Lineage: Bacteria
Description: partial 16S ribosomal RNA
Rfam family: Bacterial small subunit ribosomal RNA
Source: RNAcentral
UACGUAGGGAGCAAGCGUUGUCCGGAAUCAUUGGGCGUAAAGCGCGCGUAGGUGGCUUCGUAAGUCCGUUGUGAAAGUCAAAGGCUCAACCUUUGAAAGCCGAUGGAUACUGCGGAGCUAGAGUACGGAAGAGGCGAGUGGAAUUCCUGGUGUAGCGGUAGAAUGCGCAGAUAUCAGGAGGAACACCAAUAGCGAAGGCAGCUCGCUGGGACGUUACUGACACUGAGGCGCGAAAGCGUGGGGAGCGAACAGG